This 253-nucleotide ribosomal RNA is filed under the name uncultured bacterium. RNAcentral describes it as "partial 16S ribosomal RNA". It matches the Rfam family "Bacterial small subunit ribosomal RNA", at positions 524 to 776 of the family's 1533-position model. The record is from RNAcentral.
UACGUAGGGGGCAAGCGUUGUCCGGAAUCAUUGGGCGUAAAGAGCUCGUAGGCGGUUUGUCGCGUCUGCUGUGAAAUCCCAGGGCUUAACCCUGGGCCUGCAGUGGGUACGGGCAAACUAGAGUGCGGUAGGGGAGAUCGGAAUUCCUGGUGUAGCGGUGAAAUGCGCAGAUAUCAGGAGGAACACCAACGGCGAAGGCAGCUCGCUGGGACGGUACUGACGCUAAGGCGCGAAAGCGUGGGGAUCAAACAGG